RNAcentral lists this ribosomal RNA (497 nucleotides) under uncultured bacterium. RNAcentral describes it as "partial 16S ribosomal RNA". It matches the Rfam family "Bacterial small subunit ribosomal RNA", at positions 28 to 507 of the family's 1533-position model. The record is from RNAcentral.
GACGAACGCUGGCGGCGUGCCUAAUACAUGCAAGUUGAGCGAUGAAGCUUGGUGCUUGCACCAAUUUGGAGAGCAGCGAACGGGUGAGUAACGCGUGGGGAAUCUGCCUUUGAGCGGGGGACAACAUUUGGAAACGAAUGCUAAUACCGCAUAACAACUUUAAACAUAAGUUUUAAGUUUGAAAGAUGCAAUUGCAUCACUCAAAGAUUAUCCCGCGUUGUAUUAGCUAGUUGGUGAGGUAAAGGCUCACCAAGGCGAUGAUACAUAGCCGACCUGAGAGGGUGAUCGGCCACAUUGGGACUGAGACACGGCCCAAACUCCUACGGGGGGCAGCAGUAGGGAAACUUCGGCAAUGGACGAAAGUCUGACCGAGCAACGCCGCGGGAGGGAAGAAGGUUUUCGGAUCGUAAAACUCUGUUGGUAGAGAAGAACGUUGGUGGGAGUGGAAAGCUCAUCACGUGACGGUAACUACCCAGAAAGGGACGGCUAACUACGUG